This 763-nucleotide ribosomal RNA is filed under the name uncultured bacterium. RNAcentral describes it as "bacterial SSU rRNA". It matches the Rfam family "Bacterial small subunit ribosomal RNA", at positions 29 to 780 of the family's 1533-position model. The record is from RNAcentral.
AUGAACGCUAGCUACAGGCUUAACACAUGCAAGUCGAGGGGCAGCAUUUCAGUUUGCUUGCAAACUGGAGAUGGCGACCGGCGCACGGGUGAGUAACACGUAUCCAACCUGCCGAUAACUCGGGGAUAGCCUUUCGAAAGAAAGAUUAAUACCCGAUGGUAUAAUUAGACCGCAUGGUCUUGUUAUUAAAGAAUUUCGGUUAUCGAUGGGGAUGCGUUCCAUUAGGCAGUUGGUGAGGUAACGGCUCACCAAACCUUCGAUGGAUAGGGGUUCUGAGAGGAAGGUCCCCCACAUUGGAACUGAGACACGGUCCAAACUCCUACGGGAGGCAGCAGUGAGGAAUAUUGGUCAAUGGGCGCAGGCCUGAACCAGCCAAGUAGCGUGAAGGAUGACUGCCCUAUGGGUUGUAAACUUCUUUUAUAUGGGAAUAAAGUUUUCCACGUGUGGAAUUUUGUAUGUACCAUAUGAAUAAGGAUCGGCUAACUCCGUGCCAGCAGCCGCGGUAAUACGGAGGAUCCGAGCGUUAUCCGGAUUUAUUGGGUUUAAAGGGAGCGUAGGUGGACAGUUAAGUCAGUUGUGAAAGUUUGCGGCUCAACCGUAAAAUUGCAGUUGAUACUGGCUGUCUUGAGUACAGUAGAGGUGGGCGGAAUUCGUGGUGUAGCGGUGAAAUGCUUAGAUAUCACGAAGAACUCCGAUUGCGAAGGCAGCUCACUGGACUGCAACUGACACUGAUGCUCGAAAGUGUGGGUAUCAAACAGGAUUA